ACAUACGACCAUAGGGUGUGGAGAACAGGGCUUCCCGUCCGCUCAGCCGUACUUAAGCCACACGCCGGGAGGUUAGUAGUUGGGUGGGUGACCACCAGCGAAUCCCUCCUGUUGUAUGUC
Molecule: non-coding RNA, 120 nt
Organism: Aspergillus flavus NRRL3357
Lineage: Eukaryota; Fungi; Ascomycota; Eurotiomycetes; Eurotiales; Aspergillaceae
Source: Rfam